This 254-nucleotide ribosomal RNA is filed under the name uncultured bacterium. RNAcentral's name for it is "partial 16S ribosomal RNA". It matches the Rfam family "Bacterial small subunit ribosomal RNA", at positions 524 to 776 of the family's 1533-position model. The record is from RNAcentral.
UACGGGGGGAGCAAGCGUUGUUCGGAUUUACUGGGCGUAAAGGGCGCGUAGGCGGCCACCGCAAGUCGACUGUGAAAUCUCCGGGCUUAACCCGGAAAGGUCAGCCGAUACUGCGGGGCUAGAGUGCAGAAGGGGCAACUGGAAUUCUCGGUGUAGCGGUGAAAUGCGUAGAUAUCGAGAGGAACACCGGUGGCGAAGGCGGAUCUCUGGGCCUUACCUGACGCUGAGGCGCGAAAGCUAGGGGAGCGAACAGG